RNAcentral lists this non-coding RNA (28 nucleotides) under Mus musculus (house mouse). Lineage: Eukaryota; Metazoa; Chordata; Mammalia; Rodentia; Muridae. RNAcentral also lists the same sequence under 1 other name. The record is from RNAcentral.
UGAAGCCCAACUGCUUUUAGGGAAGUUU